RNAcentral lists this ribosomal RNA (403 nucleotides) under Verrucomicrobiota bacterium. RNAcentral's name for it is "Verrucomicrobia bacterium partial 16S ribosomal RNA". It matches the Rfam family "Bacterial small subunit ribosomal RNA", at positions 355 to 776 of the family's 1533-position model. The record is from RNAcentral. Lineage: Bacteria; Pseudomonadati; Verrucomicrobiota.
UGGGGAAUAUUGCACAAUGGGCGCAAGCCUGAUGCAGCAACGCCGCGUGAACGAUGAAGGUCUUCGGAUCGUAAAGUUCUGUUGCAGGGGAAGAUAAUGACGGUACCCUGUGAGGAAGCUCCGGCUAACUACGUGCCAGCAGCCGCGGUAAUACGUAGGGGGCUAGCGUUAUCCGGAUUUACUGGGCGUAAAGGGUGCGUAGGUGGUCCUUCAAGUCGGUGGUUAAAGGCUACGGCUCAACCGUAGUAAGCCGCCGAAACUGGAGGACUUGAGUGCAGGAGAGGAAAGUGGAAUUCCCAGUGUAGCGGUGAAAUGCGUAGAUAUUGGGAGGAACACCAGUAGCGAAGGCGGCUUUCUGGACUGCAACUGACACUGAGGCACGAAAGCGUGGGUAGCAAACAGG